This 245-nucleotide ribosomal RNA is filed under the name uncultured Aquabacterium sp. Its description in RNAcentral is "partial 16S ribosomal RNA". It matches the Rfam family "Bacterial small subunit ribosomal RNA", at positions 524 to 768 of the family's 1533-position model. Lineage: Bacteria; Pseudomonadati; Pseudomonadota; Betaproteobacteria; Burkholderiales; Sphaerotilaceae. The record is from RNAcentral.
UACGUAGGGUGCGAGCGUUAAUCGGAAUUACUGGGCGUAAAGCGUGCGCAGGCGGCUUUGCAAGACAGAUGUGAAAUCCCCGGGCUCAACCUGGGAACUGCAUUUGUGACUGCAAGGCUAGAGUACGGCAGAGGGGGAUGGAAUUCCGCGUGUAGCAGUGAAAUGCGUAGAUAUGCGGAGGAACACCAAUGGCGAAGGCAAUCCCCUGGGCCUGUACUGACGCUCAUGCACGAAAGCGGGGGGAG